This is a long non-coding RNA of Passer domesticus (house sparrow), 414 nucleotides long. RefSeq lists it as uncharacterized. The transcript has 3 exons. NCBI's taxonomy places the organism in Eukaryota, Metazoa, Chordata, Aves, Passeriformes, Passeridae. The record is from RefSeq and is a predicted model, not a curated record.
UGUUGGAGGGAUGAAGCUUCCAUUUCUUUCUUUGGGGAGCAUUGCUGGGACUUCAUCUGGAAGUGUCUCUUCUCCUCAUCAGCAGAGACAAGUGGACCAACAACAUGUGAAGGCUCGGGAGCAGCUGGAGGAACGGGCUAACUUCCUGGCACAGCUCCUGCAGGAAGAGCAGCGUCAGAAGGCUGCUCUGUUAGCCAGGGUGUGCCAGCUGCAGAGAGAGCUGAGCCAAAAGGAGCAGCUGAGGCAGGAGCUGACUGAGGAGCGGGAGAAUGGGCAGAUGGACGCAGGAUCCCCCAUCAAAGGUGCCGCAGCAGCAGCAUCCUGCCAAGAGGCCUCCUGUCUGCAGCCUGGAAACCGGAGCAUGAGCAGUUCACGCGGCUCAAGCCAGGAGAGAGAGAAGCAGCUCCUGAAGCU